Mya arenaria is the source of this 1295-nucleotide long non-coding RNA. RefSeq lists it as uncharacterized. The record is from RefSeq and is a predicted model, not a curated record. The transcript has 3 exons. Lineage: Eukaryota; Metazoa; Mollusca; Bivalvia; Myida; Myidae.
AUUGCGACCAAAAUGUUUUUGAUCAAUAAAUAAAGAUAGUUUGAGCACAAGAGCCUCGAUCUUCGUAGUCAGUUUGGUCUUUACCAGUUUUUGAUUUAAAUCGAUUUGAUCAAAUUUAUAAGCUUGAGUCUUGAAAGAUUUAAGAAGGUCGGUCCUUUAGUAUAGGUCAGUGGCUACGGUCACGAUGACAUUGUCGAAUCUAAGCGUAAUUUUACAGAAUUGUCAAGCUCCAUUGCUAAGGUCGUUUCUCAGCAAUGAUGGAGCUGGUCGACUUUAUAUCCCCUGUCAGAGCAACCAAGAGUAGUCUUGGUGUUUGGAUUAUAUAACCAAUGUCGGAGGAACAAAUGGUUUCAUAUCCCCCGUCAGAGCAUCAUAUGGUUUUCAUAGCUGGUGGACUAUAUAUACCCUGUCAGUGCAAUCGUUGGUUGUAUUAAUUAAUGGAUCAGUUGCUUCAAAAUAUUUUGUGUUUGCCGAAACUUCAUAGAGGGAAAUGUUGGAAGCGGAACAAAAUGGCGGUUUUCGAAAGGAUUUUGGUGUUUUGGGAUGAUAUUUUGACCUGAUAACUAGGUAGAUUAUUCCACCAUGUGAGACCAAUGACGACGAUUGAUCGGUCAGCUAUUUGGUUCGACGCAUUGGAAUGAUGCGAUUGUCAAAAUUCAGCGUAUUGGUCAUUCAAACACCUAGAUCUCUUACACUUGUUAUGUUUAUUUUUUGUAUUUGACGUUUGGUUCCAUACAUAAUUAUUCGGUUUUAGCCUAAUUCAUGUUCAGUUUGUAAGAUGUCAUCGAUGUGCUGAAUUGUGAGACAAUUGGUAAGCUGUUGAAAAACAAUUGCCUCCUUUUGAGAAUUUUCCGCUUGAAUAUUUAGUGCAAUGUUAUUGUCGUCAGCGUAUUGAUACAGAUCGACUGGAUAUUACUGAACCUCUCUAUUAAGAGCUGAUAUAUACAGGGUAAAGACCACCGGUCCAGUACAAGAACCCUGUCGUACUUCGAACCUCAGUGGUUCAGUUUCAGUUUCUGAUUGUUCAACCAUGAGUUUCAUUGUUCUCUUCGCGAGAUAAGAUUCCAUCCAUUUCGAGGGAGUGCCUUGAAUACCAAAGUCGUUUUGAAAAACUCGAAUCAGUGUCGGAAUGUCGAUGUUAUCGCAUGCAGCACUCAAGUCAAUCAUGACCACAAUUGUAACUUUUAUCAAUGUUUCCAUAAUUCACAAUACAUUUUGACCAUUGCUGUUUUAACACCAUGAUAUAUUCUAUAUGCACUUUGAUAAGAUGAAAAUAGUUUGCUUCUAUAUGUACA